Molecule: non-coding RNA, 486 nt
Organism: Hipposideros armiger (great roundleaf bat)
Lineage: Eukaryota; Metazoa; Chordata; Mammalia; Chiroptera; Hipposideridae
Source: the annotation of a RefSeq genome assembly
GGUUGGGGGCUCACAAGGUAGCACUCUGGGGGCAUCUGCACCAUGGCCUGGGCUCUGCUCCUCCUCACCCUCCUCACUCAGGGCACAGGCUCCAGGACCCAGUCUGCCCUGACUCAGCCUCCCUCAGUGUCUGGCUCUCCUGGAAAGUCAGUCACCAUCUCCUGUGCUGGAAGCAGCAGUGAUGUCGGAGGUUAUAAUGAAGUCUCCUGGUACCAACAGCGCCCGGGCACAGCACCCAAACUGCUGAUUUAUGAUGUGACAAAUCGGCCCUCAGGGAUCCCUGAUCGCUUCUCUGGUUCCAAGUCUGGCAACACGGCCUCUCUGACCAUCUCUGGGCUCCAGGCUGAGGACGAGGCUGAUUAUUACUGUUGCUCAUAUUCGAGCAGUGUCACUCGCACAGUGGUGCAAGUUCAUGGGGAAGUGAGACAAAAACCUGCCGUGUUUCACAGGCUCCUUUGUUCCUCUGAAGGUGCUUCCCCACCCUGA